GGGGACGACAGGCUUCGACGUUGUCGGACCGUGCGGAGGGUUGCAGGUCGAGGAUGUCGAUGGCCUCGUAAAAAAUCGGCACAAACCAAUACGUGCGGACCAUGAGUUCGCCCUCGCUGCCUAGCUGAUACCUAGGCGAUGAGAGUCGGCCCACCCUCGGCCCGUGGGGAGGGGUUCCGGCUUCAGAAACGGGCUAGCCCCGAAGGAGCGCCUCGGCUGGAGGGGGACAUUUCAGAGGCUUGGCCAUCCGUAGUGCCAGCUGGCGCGGACCCCGGAUGGCGAGAACAAAGCGCCGGCUAAGCCUGUAGACGCCUUUCGACACGCGACUGCGGACGCGGGUUCAAUUCCCGCCGUCUCCAU
This 360-nucleotide transfer-messenger RNA is filed under the name Solirubrobacterales bacterium 67-14. It matches the Rfam family "transfer-messenger RNA". Rfam says of the family: Bacterial tmRNA, also known as 10Sa RNA or SsrA, is named for its dual tRNA and mRNA-like properties. Its role is to liberate the mRNA from a stalled ribosome. The record is from RNAcentral. Lineage: Bacteria; Bacillati; Actinomycetota; Thermoleophilia; Solirubrobacterales. RNAcentral also lists the same sequence under 1 other name.